Molecule: long non-coding RNA, 3487 nt
Organism: Malurus melanocephalus (red-backed fairy wren)
Lineage: Eukaryota; Metazoa; Chordata; Aves; Passeriformes; Maluridae
Exons: 2
Source: RefSeq, a predicted model, not a curated record
UUCUGAGUGUUCUCUGUGUGUGUUUAAAAAAAAAAAACAAAUUAUACAGUAAUGAUUACAGAUGAAGCGUAAAGACAGAGURUGUCCUCUGAGGAUGUCUGUUCUCCCUUUAGCAUAAGCCAAAUCAACCACUGCUGAAGGCUCCUGAAAGAAGUGGACCUUUUAUCUUACUGGAUAGGGGCAUUCAUACUUUACUAUGUAGUCAAAGUCUCCAAAAAGAGCUCAAAGAAACAAAACCUCUUGGAGAUCCUWGCACAGACAGUAAACCUAAUAAUCUGCAAUAACAAACCCCACCUCCAAACACCACCAAAGAAAAUCCAACUAAACACCAAAACCCAAAAAAAAUCUCCACAUAAAAUUGCUACAUGAUUAUGAAAGUAGAGUACUGCACAUUUUUUCAAAGGCAUUUCUCAAAAAUUAAAAAAAAAAAAUCAUGCUCAAGCGCUUUCUUAUGAGGUGUCUAAAUUCCUUUCUGGUUACAGAUAGAGGUUUGGGAAAGAUCAUCAUCACAAAGCAAACAUAAAUUUGAUUUCCUCAUUGAGGUUUGUGAGUGGAUACUAGCUCAUUAUUCAUGAAUCACWAAUCAUUCAGUGUUCAGCAUCUAAUUGUCCAAAUAUUGUCUAAUUGUAUGGAUUUAUUGCAUGAAUUAUCAUCUCUUCACCCACUUUUGAAGAUGGGUGGAGUUUAAUUAUAGUUAUUUUCUUUGUCUUACCACCUGUCUUCAUAUGAGAGCAAGAAAAGAACAAAGUUAGCUAAUUCAACUUUCAGCUGAGGAGUCCUCAUUGUCACAAUUCUUCAAAACAAUUAGCAAAGAAAGACUUGUUUCAAUUCAUUCCAUUUUUCUUCCAUUACCUAGCUCAAAAGGAUGUUUCAGAUACUUGACCAAAAGAUGUUUCAGAUAUUUGACCUGAAAUUUGACUUCUUUUCAAGCAGAGUUGUGUUCCAUGUCUUCAGGAACACCAAAACUUGACACCUAUCAGUUGUUUCUUACCUGCUUCCAGGUAAUGUGAGACAGACUUCAUAUACCUGUCCUGAUAUCCCAACUCAGUAAAACCAUACCUUCUUCUUGAYCUUUCUUUCUCUUCAUCUGUUGCCAUUUUAGGAGCAUUUUCUGUAUUUCAGCUUUAUCUCUCUGUCCCAGAAGGAGGCAGAGUUUACUGUUGCCCCUGCCACAGGUGGAAGYAUUGUCUCCAGUGAGUGUUCCAAGGAGGAGAGGGCAUGGAAGCAGCUGCAACAAACCCACAGGGCUCUUCAUCCUUCUGAACAGCUGCUAGAGCACUGCCUCUGGCAUCUAAUAAUACCAUAUAUACCAAGAUCCCUGCACAGGCAAGUAGGAGCUUCUGGGUGAGAUUAACUAAGUGAAAACUGGUUCCCGUGGCUAAUUUUCCACUGCUUUUCUUCAUAGGAGAGAGUUCUACUCAGAGGUCUGCCUUGCUUGUUUUGUUCUGCCCCUGUGAAAGAAUGAACUAAUUUUGUUUGGGAGAUGAAUGCAGUAUUUUGAUGGRCAGUUUGUUCAAAAKACARGAAAUCCUCCACAGCUGCUUCUGCUAACAGAAGAACAAAAAGGUUUCCUGAAUCUGCCCAACAUCUGACUGCUCUGUCUAGGAGGGAUUUGCAUGCCAAAAGCUUGUAAGCAUCUUCCAACUACAUAAAUCUGUCUAAGGAAAAGACUGMCUCUCUCCACAGAACCUGCCUGAACAGAGACCUGCACAUCUUAGUACCUCGUACUGAUUUCCUGCUAGCUCCCAACUAGCUUCUGCCAUUAAGAUGRCUUAUCUAAACUAGACAAGUGUGGCAAGCCAGACCCACAGAGACUUUCAGAAGAGUUUUGUUAUUACCAGAGUGCAGGAGAGCAGAUGCCAGCAUCAUCACUGAAACAGGCCAGUUGUCUCAAACUGCAGCCAUCAUGGUCAGCUUGUAUCCCCCAGACUCUCUUGACUUCUCUUCAAAACAAAUUUGUUCUAAAUUAUUUUCCACCAAGCAACAGUAACAGACAAUAAACAUCAGGCAGGAAAGAAAAAGACAGUUCUGGCUCAAGAGCAGUUGCUAUAAACCCAGCAUGCAUCAUUUAAGGUGAAAAUUAGAAAAGCCAUAAGCAUUAUAUAGCRGUAACAUUGAGGAAUGCCCUUCCAAGAGAAGCAAUGCAUGAAAGAAACAUGAACUGCUUAAAAAAUGAAAAUUGAGCAGACUACAAACUGGAUAAUAUCUUAACCACAUAAGGCACAAGUUGAAAUUUAAAUUACUUCAAGUCCUKUGCUUCCCCUCCAAUCCUACCUAAUGUCCACAAGACAGAUUUUCUUAAGUCAUGUUCCUGGUAUCUUACAGUCUCAACUGGAAGUAAAAGUGCCUUAAUAGUGUCAAAUUUAGUUUAUUAAGAAUGGACAGGGAAGCAAGCCUUGUAUGUAGAAAGCCUGUAAUGAUGUAGAUCUUAAAUGUGUCUUUGAAUCCCUGACUACUUAGAAGACAUAUUUUUAAUUACCCUGGAUUAUUUUCAAACAGGACUACCUCAUGGUCAWACUUGUUGUUUUCAGUGAUAGACUUUAUGCCCAAGUAUGAACAUUUAAGGGCACUGAUCAGAAGUCUUAUACCAUCAUUCCUGAAGCUUUCUAAUUCACGAAGAAUAAGUUAAGUACACUUUUCAACUGUUCAAGUAGAAAACAGUUAAAAGAGAGAUUAUUAUUUCCAUUGUGCUUCUUCAAAUAUUUGCAUGAUGCAGUUGCAGAUCUCACAUAUUUCUGAUCCUUUACCAUGAUUGCCGUUUGUAACACCUGACAAAUAUCACAAAAUUUUCGUCCACCUUCUGAAUUGGCUUCCUUGUCUAAUAAAAAUGGUUUCCUCCACUGUCAUUUCAUAUCCAACAUUAUUAUAUAUCUGAGAACAAAAGGUAGAACUGAUAGUUUUCACUGGCUGGCAGGAGGUUACUUUGCAGCAUUCAAGCAGGCACUGUGAAAUUUUGAUAUUUACUGAGAAAUUAAUUAYAGGCUGAUGCAAUAAAAUACCCAGCAUGACUAAUGAAGACAACUAGAGUACAGAUAUACCUGUACUUUCUGGAGAAUGCUGAUGGAUGUAUAACUUGAUGUAAACAUGAUUAACAACCUUGUUAAAUUAAGAUGACAAGAUGGGCUUUAACCAAACAGAUUAGAGAAAUACCUGAGAAAAGGGUGAAAGGGUAAGAUAAAGAUGUCUGUAUACAGAAAUUCUCAAAGUUACUUUUCCCAAGACAAGAUAAACUGUGUCCUAAUGGUUAACAGGGUUGGGACUGCAGAAGAAAACUGCUAGUUGUUUCCUGCUCUGUUAUCUCUUUUGAUAGCAAUACAGAAAUUUCCAAUCACACCUGUCUGGCUUCUGCUAAGUAAACCACGAUUUCUUUGCAAUGGUUUUUCAGUGAUCCCUCCAGGAGAUAAAUCAUUUCUAGAAGAGCAGCUCGAGUGGUUAAAGGAGCCAGCAUUACUCGCUUUAUUAAAGACAACUCAAAACAAAAAAAAAA